AUAGAGACUCAGAGCUGCAUAUCAAUAAGCGGAGGAAAAGAAACUAACUAGGAUUCCCUCAGUAACGGCGAGUGAAGCGGGAAGAGCUCAAAUUUGAAAUCUUCAAGGUUUUACCUUGACGAAUUGUAGUUUAAAGAAGUGUUUUCUGUUGGAGUUUUGGUAAAAGUUCUUUGGAAUAGGACAUCAUAGAGGGUGAGAAUCCCGUAUUUGACCAUUAUUUCCAGCUUUGUGAUACACUUUCAAAGAGUCGGAUUGUUUGGGAAUGCAGUCCAAAAUGGGUGGUAAAUUUCAUCUAAAGCUAAAUAUUGGCGAGAGACCGAUAGCGAACAAGUACCGUGAGGGAAAGAUGAAAAGAACUUUGAAAAGAGAGUUAAACAGUACGUGAAAUUGUCAAAAGGGAAGCGUUUGACACCAGUGUUGUUUAGUUGAAAAUCAAUUCAAUAGUUUUUGAUUUUAAGUAGUAUUUGACUUCAUCAGCUUGCUGCUUUUUUCUCUGAAAUUAUUGAAUGCACUUUUCAGUUAACAAGUCAACAUCAGUUUCUUUUGUUGUAAAAAGGUGAGAGGAAGGUGGCUUGCGCUUCGGCUCAAGUGUUUAUAGCCUUUUACCCCUGCAAUCGAAGAGACUGAGGUCUGCAGCGUAGAUCCUUCGGGGUUAGAUACAUUUGUGCUAAGUUAUAGCUUGUCAUAGACAACUUGUUGACUAUGUUCAGUCAUGUCGCUUACUCGCUUAUGCUAUUUUACCUACGCUUAGGAUGUUGAAGUCAUCGUAUCGCGC
This 775-nucleotide ribosomal RNA is filed under the name uncultured Neocallimastigales. Its description in RNAcentral is "partial large subunit ribosomal RNA". It matches the Rfam family "Eukaryotic large subunit ribosomal RNA", at positions 23 to 645 of the family's 3401-position model. The record is from RNAcentral. Lineage: Eukaryota; Fungi; Neocallimastigomycota; Neocallimastigomycetes; Neocallimastigales.